CACGUAGGCAGCAAGCGUUGUUCGGAGUUACUGGGCGUAAAGGGUGCGUAGGCGGUCCUAUAAGUAUGGUGUGAAAUCUCCCGGCUUAACUGGGAGGGUGCGCUAUAGACUGUGGGACUAGAGUGUGGGAGAGGAAAGUGGAAUUCCUGGUGUAGCGGUGAAAUGCGUAGAUAUCAGGAGGAACACCGGUGGUGUAAACGGCUUUCUGGACCAUAACUGACGCUGAGGCACGAAAGCGUGGGUAGCAAACAGG
RNAcentral lists this ribosomal RNA (253 nucleotides) under uncultured bacterium. RNAcentral describes it as "partial 16S ribosomal RNA". It matches the Rfam family "Bacterial small subunit ribosomal RNA", at positions 524 to 776 of the family's 1533-position model. The record is from RNAcentral.